UUCCGGUUGAUCCUGCCGGACCCGACUGCUAUCAGAGUAGGACUAAGCCAUGCGAGUCAACGCUGCAAGGCGUGGCGUACGGCUCAGUAACACGUAGUCAACAUGCCCAAAGGACGCGGAUAACCUCGGGAAACUGAGGAUAAACCGCGAUAGGCCAGGGUUUCUGGAAUGAGCCACGGCCAAAAUCUAUAUGGCCUUUGGAUUGGACUGCGGCCGAUCAGGCUGUUGGUGAGGUAAUGGCCCACCAAACCUGUUACCGGUACGGGCUUUGAGAGAAGGAGCCCGGAGAUGGGCACUGAGACAAGGGCCCAGGCCCUAUGGGGCGCAGCAGGCGCGAAACCUCUGCAAUAGGCGAAAGCCUGACAGGGUUACUCUGAGUGAUGCCCGCUAAGGGUAUCUUUUGGCACCUCUAAAAAUGGUGCAGAAUAAGGGGUGGGCAAGUCUGGUGUCAUCCGCCGCGGUAAUACCAGCACCCCGAGUUGUCGGGACGAUUAUUGGGCCUAAAGCGUCCGUAGCCUGUUCUGCAAGUCCUCCGUUAAAUCCACCUGCUUAACGGAUGGGCUGCGGGGGAUACCGCAGAGCUAGGAGGCGGGAGAGGCAAACGGUACUCAGUGGGUAGGGGUAAAAUCCAUUGAUCUACUGAAGACCACCAGUGGCGAAGGCGGUUUGCCAGAACGCGCUCGACGGUGAGGGAUGAAAGCUGGGGGAGCAACCGGAUUAGAUACCCGGGUAGUCCCAG
RNAcentral lists this ribosomal RNA (739 nucleotides) under uncultured archaeon. RNAcentral's name for it is "bacterial SSU rRNA". It matches the Rfam family "Archaeal small subunit ribosomal RNA", at positions 1 to 750 of the family's 1478-position model. The record is from RNAcentral.